UACGGGGGGGGCAAGCGUUGUUCGGAAUUACUGGGCGUAAAGGGCUCGUAGGUGGCCAACUAAGUCGGACGUGAAAUCCCCAGGCUCAACUUGGGAACUGCGUCCGAUACUGGAUGGCUUGAAUUCGGGAGAGGGAUGCAGAAUUCCAGGUGUAGCGGUGAAAUGCGUAGAUAUCUGGAGGAAUACCGGUGGCGAAGGCGGCAUCCUGGACCGAGAUUGACACUGAUGAGCGAAAGCCAGGGGAGCAGACGGG
This 253-nucleotide ribosomal RNA is filed under the name uncultured bacterium. RNAcentral's name for it is "partial 16S ribosomal RNA". It matches the Rfam family "Bacterial small subunit ribosomal RNA", at positions 524 to 776 of the family's 1533-position model. The record is from RNAcentral.